Molecule: ribosomal RNA, 327 nt
Filed under: uncultured eukaryote
Lineage: Eukaryota
Description: partial 18S ribosomal RNA
Rfam family: Eukaryotic small subunit ribosomal RNA
Source: RNAcentral
CCCCUAGAUGUUCUGGGCCGCACGCGCGCUACACUGAACAGUUCAACAAGUCUUAACCUUGGCCGAUAGGUCUGGGUAAUCUUUGAACGCUGUUCGUGAUUGGGAUAGACCUUUGCAAUUAUGGGUCUUCAACGAGGAAUUCCUAGUAAACGCAAGUCAUCAGCUUGCAUUGAUUACGUCCCUGCCCUUUGUACACACCGCCCGUCGCACCUACCGAUUGAAUGGUCCGGUGAAAUCUUCGGAUCUGAGAGAUGUCUGAUUAAUUUCGGACGCCUUUUGGAAAAGUUGUUUAAACCUUACCAUUUAGAGGAAGGUGAAGUCGUANCA